UACGGGGGGGGUAAGCGUUGUUCGGAAUUACUGGGCGUAAAGGGCUCGUAGGCGGCCAACUAAGUCAGACGUGAAAUCCCUCAGCUUAACUGGGGAACUGCGUCUGAGACUGGCGAGCUUGAGGGCAGGAGAGGAACGCGGAAUUCCAGGUGUAGCGGUGAAAUGCGUAGAUAUCUGGAGGAACACCGGUGGCGAAGGCGGCAUCCUGGACCAACACUGACGCUGAGUGAGCGAAAGCCAGGGGAGCAAACGGG
Molecule: ribosomal RNA, 254 nt
Filed under: uncultured bacterium
Lineage: Bacteria
Description: partial 16S ribosomal RNA
Rfam family: Bacterial small subunit ribosomal RNA
Source: RNAcentral